Molecule: ribosomal RNA, 497 nt
Filed under: uncultured bacterium
Lineage: Bacteria
Description: partial 16S ribosomal RNA
Rfam family: Bacterial small subunit ribosomal RNA
Source: RNAcentral
GAUGAACGCUGGCGGCGUGCCUAAUACAUGCAAGUCGAGCGAACGGACGAGAAGCUUGCUUCUCUGAUGUUAGCGGCGGACGGGUGAGUAACACGUGGAUAACCUACCUAUAAGACUGGGAUAACUUCGGGAAACCGGAGCUAAUACCGGAUAAUAUUUUGAACCGCAUGAUUCAAAAGUGAAAGACGGUCUUGCUGUCACUUAUAGAUGGAUCCGCGCUGCAUUAGCUAGUUGGUAAGGUAACGGCUUACCAAGGCAACGAUGCAUAGCCGACCUGAGAGGGUGAUCGGCCACACUGGAACUGAGACACGGUUCAGACUCCUACGGGAGGCAGCAGUAGGGAAUCUUCCGCAAUGGGCGAAAGCCUGACGGAGCAACGCCGCGUGAGUGAUGAAGGUCUUCGGAUCGUAAAACUCUGUUAUUAGGGAAGAACAUAUGUGUAAGUAACUGUGCACAUCUUGACGGUACCUAAUCAGAAAGCCACGGCUAACUACGUG